RNAcentral lists this long non-coding RNA (1591 nucleotides) under Phasianus colchicus (ring-necked pheasant). RNAcentral's name for it is "lncRNA (ENSPCLG00000019533.1)". The record is from RNAcentral. Lineage: Eukaryota; Metazoa; Chordata; Aves; Galliformes; Phasianidae.
GGGGAGUGGGAGGGGGCUGGGGGGACACAGGUGACACCCAUGGGGUGCUGGGAGGGGGAAUCUCCAGCUCUCCACCUGCCUACCUCUCCAUCUCCGUUCAUUCCCCUCUCUGCCUCCAUCUUUCCACCUCUCCAUCUGUCCUUCCACAGCCCCAUGCCUCCCUCUUUCCAUGUCCACCUCUCUGCCUCUUCACUCACUUGUGUCUCUCUGUCUCUAUAGAGGCAGAAGUGUCCACUUCUCCCCAUCUCUGUCCAUCUCUCCAUCUCUGUCCAUCUCAACCUCUCCACCUCUGUCCAUCCAUCUCUCCAUCCCUGUCCAUCCAUCUCUCCAUCUCAGCCUGUCCAUCUGUCCAUCCAUCUCUCCAUCCCCGUCCAUCCAUCUCUCCAUCUCAGCCUCUCCAUCUCUCCAUCCAUCUCUCCAUCCCUGUCCAUUCAUCUCUCCAUCUCAGCUUCUCCAUCCUUCUCUCCACCUCUCUCCAUCUCCAUCUCAACCUCUCCACCUGUCCACCCAUCUCUCUGUCUCUGCCCAUCCAUCUCUCCAACUGUCUGUCCAUCUCUCCAUCUCUGUCCACCCACCUCUCCAUCUCAGCCCCUCCAUCUCAACCUCUCCACCUCUGUCUGUCCAUCUCUCCAUCCCAAUUUCUCCAUCUCUGUCCAUCCAUCUCUCCACUGUCCCCUUUUUACCCAUCCCUCCAUCUCUCCACCUGCCUACCUCUCCAUUUCUUCACUUCUCCAUCUCCCACAUCUCUCUGUCUCCAUCUCUCCCCAUGUCCAUGUCCCUGUAUCUCCAUGUCUCCACAUUUCACCUCCACGUCUCCAUCUCCCCACAUCUCCAUCUCCCCAGUUCUCCACCUCUCCACCUUUCCAUCUUAGUCCAUUUAUGUCUCCACUUCUCCCUCCAUGUCCACAUCUCUCUCUGCCUAUCUUCUUACCUGCCCACCUCUCCGUGUCUCCAUCUCUACAGCUCUCCAGCUCUCCAUCCAUCUUCCCACAUCCCCAUCCCUCCAUCUUUCCACCUCUGCACCUCUGUCCAUCCAUGUCUCCACCUCUCCAUUUCUCCAACAUCUCCACCUCUUCAUGUCCCCAUCUCUCCCUACCUCUCCCUAUCCCUCUUCAUUUCUACUCCUCUCCAUCUCUGUCUAUCCAUGUCUCUGACUCUCUAUCUCCCCAUUUCUCUCCAUCUCCCCAUCCCUCUCCAUCUCUCCAUUUCUCCACCUUUCCAUCUCUCCAUUCCUUUCCAUCUCUCCAUCCCUCUCUCUCUCUCCAUCCCUUUCCAUUUCUCCAUCUCUCCAUCCCUCUCUCUCUCCCCACCUCUCCAUCUCCCCAUUUCUCUUCAUCUCUCCCCAUCUCUCUCCAUCUUUCCAUCUCUCCCCAUUUCUCUCCAUCUCUCCCCAUCUCUCCAUCCCUCCAUCUCUUUCCAUCUCUCCCCACCUCUCCCCACGUCCCCAUAGCCCCAUCCGCACCUCCCUCCCCAUCCCUCCUCUCCCCUCUCCUCCCGACAUCUCCCCUCUCCAUUCCCCCCCUCUUUCCCACCCCAGCUCACGCAGAACACACAGCCCACGUCCCCCCACCCCACUCCCCGCAGCUCCCCG